This 889-nucleotide long non-coding RNA is filed under the name Gossypium barbadense (sea-island cotton). RNAcentral's name for it is "long non-coding RNA (GBAR_LNC020534)". The record is from RNAcentral. Lineage: Eukaryota; Viridiplantae; Streptophyta; Magnoliopsida; Malvales; Malvaceae.
AAAAACGCUCUCAGCCCCUCAGUCCUCCGACCAUCGGCCGGUCAUCGGAAGGUCACCGACCACCACGCCGGCCGCUGAUUUUCGACGCCGGUGCCGCCGUUUGCGGUGGCCGAAAAAGGGAAAGUUCCCUUUUUAAUAUUUCUGACCCCUCUAGGCCCAGAUCUGGGCUAAAAAUCCCCAAAAUCGAUAAAAAAAAACACUAGAAAAACCCUAGAAACUUUUUGGUUUCUAGUCGUCUGUCAUCGGAGACGAUUCCUCGGCCGUUCACGUCAAUUAGGGCUUAAAACCCAGGUUCUUUAUUUCCUCUUGUAUUAUUUAUAUAUAUAAACGAUAAAAUAAAUACAUAUAACAGAAAAAAUGUAACAACCUUUGAUUUGGUUUUUUUUGCUCUCUAUAUUGCGUAAGUAGAAGUCUUUUUUAUUUCUGAUUUUGAAAUCGGAUCCUUAUUACAGUAUGCUCAAUGGCCUCUUAUAGCCGUAUGAAAUAAAUCUAAAAAGGAAAGAAAUCUAUUCUUGAUUUGAUUUACAAAUAUUGUUGAUUUGCUUUCCACUUUUGUUUUCCUCGAUGCACAGGUAAAAAUCCAUAGAGAUUCGGAGCUUGCGGCGCGAGAUGUUGCUGCUGCUAGGGUUCCAGAAAUUGUUCUCAUCAUUUGGGCUGAACUGUAAUUGGGCUUUGGGUUUGGGUCAUUUAUUUUAGGCCUGUUUCACUGUAAUUGGGUUUGGGUUUUGGGCCCGUUUAGUUGUAACAGGACUGUUCUAUAUAUGCCGGGUAAAAUUGAGGUAUUGCAAAUUAAUUUGCAUACUCGUGCGAUGCAUUAAUUAAAUGUAUAUUAUAAUUUUAAAUUCAACAUUUUAUUCAUGUUUUGAUAAAAGUUUUGUAUGUAUUCAAG